AGACCCGAAACCCGGUGAUCUAGCCAUGGGCAGGUUGAAGGUUGGGUAACACUAACUGGAGGACCGAACCGACUAAUGUUGAAAAAUUAGCGGAUGACUUGUGGCUGGGGGUGAAAGGCCAAUCAAACCGGGAGAUAGCUGGUUCUCCCCGAAAGCUAUUUAGGUAGCGCCUCGUGAAUUCAUCUCCGGGGGUAGAGCACUGUUUCGGCAAGGGGGUCAUCCCGACUUACCAACCCGAUGCAAACUGCGAAUACCGGAGAAUGUUAUCACGGGAGACACACGGCGGGUGCUAACGUCCGUCGUGAAGAGGGAAACAACCCAGACCGCCAGCUAAGGUCCCAAAGUCAUGGUUAAGUGGGAAACGAUGUGGGAAGGCCCAGACAGCCAGGAUGUUGGCUUAGAAGCAGCCAUCAUUUAAAGAAAGCGUAAUAGCUCACUGGUCGAGUCGGCCUGCGCGGAAGAUGUAACGGGGCUAAACCAUGCACCGAAGCUGCGGCAGCGACACUGUGUGUUGUUGGGUAGGGGAGCGUUCUGUAAGCCUGUGAAGGUGUGCUGUGAGGCAUGCUGGAGGUAUCAGAAGU
This 581-nucleotide ribosomal RNA is filed under the name Escherichia coli. RNAcentral describes it as "partial 23S ribosomal RNA". It matches the Rfam family "Bacterial large subunit ribosomal RNA", at positions 711 to 1289 of the family's 2925-position model. Lineage: Bacteria; Pseudomonadati; Pseudomonadota; Gammaproteobacteria; Enterobacterales; Enterobacteriaceae. The record is from RNAcentral.